UUGGAGGGCAAGUCUGGUGCCAGCAGCCGCGGUAAUUCCAGCUCCAAUAGCGUAUAUUAAAGUUGUUGCAGUUAAAAAGCUCGUAGUUGAAUUUCGGGGUCAGUAGGUCGGUCGUGCCACCGGUAUGAACUGGCUUCACUGAUUCCUCCCUCUUGUAGAACCGUGAUGCCAUUAAUUUGAUGUUGCGGGGAAACAGGACCGUUACUUUGAAAAAAUUAGAGUGUUUAAAGCAGGCUAACGCUUGAAUACAUUAGCAUGGAAUAAUGAAAUAGGACGUCGAUCUUAUUUUGUUGGUUUCUAGGGUUGACGUAAUGAUUAAUAGGGAUAGUUGGGGGCAUUAGUAUUCAAUUGUCAGAGGUGAAAUUCUUGGAUUUAUUGAAGACUAACUACUGCGAAAGCAUUUGCCAAGGAUGUUUUCAUUAAUCAAGAACGAAAGUUAGGGGAUCGAAGACGAUCAGAUACCGUCGUAGUCUUAACCAUAAACUAUGCCGACUAGGGAUCGGACGGUGGUUCUUUUUAUGCCCCGUUCGGCGCCUUACGGGAAAC
RNAcentral lists this ribosomal RNA (546 nucleotides) under uncultured Glomus. RNAcentral describes it as "SSU rRNA". It matches the Rfam family "Eukaryotic small subunit ribosomal RNA", at positions 548 to 1098 of the family's 1831-position model. The record is from RNAcentral. Lineage: Eukaryota; Fungi; Glomeromycota; Glomeromycetes; Glomerales; Glomeraceae.